Molecule: long non-coding RNA, 571 nt
Filed under: Olea europaea subsp. europaea
Lineage: Eukaryota; Viridiplantae; Streptophyta; Magnoliopsida; Lamiales; Oleaceae
Source: RNAcentral
UAUUGAUCAAAGUAUAAACUCCUGCCAAAUUCUCACCCGCUUUCCUAUAUAUAAACUAGUGCCAAAUUCUUACCUUUCAAGUUCAGUUUUUUUCUUUUUCCACAAGAGAGCAAAAGAUGAUAAAGUUUGGUAUGAUGGUGGAAUUAUUGGAAGAAUACAGUUUGGUAAUGGCAAGAAUGAGAGAUCAAUUGCAUUUUCAGUUUCUGAGGACUCUUCGUUCUGCUUCAACUUCAUCCUCCUUCUCUGAUUCUUCUUCAUUUCUUGUCUAUUUUUAGUACAGAUUUGUUUCAUAUAUAUGUGCACGAUAUUUGGUCAUGCUUAAAAAACAACUUUUCCUCAUCUCUAUAUAUAAUGCUGAGAAAAGAUACCAAAAAACUGCUUUUAAACGCGAUCAAAUUACACAAGAUGCUGUAAUCUCAUAUUCUUUUGUAUAUAUUUUGAAGAUUUAGUUUUCAGUCAUUUGCUUGUAUAAAACAUGUAAUUCUUAUUCCGUUUUUUGUACAAUCAGCAAAGGAUUAAGGAUUCAGAUGAUUGAAUUAAUUCAAAGAUUUCUUUUUUUAUAUUGUAGAAA